CCUACGGGAGGCUGCAGUGAGGAAUAUUGGUCAAUGGACGCACGUCUGAACCAGCCAUGCCGCGUGCAGGAAGACGGCUCUAUGAGUUGGAAACUGCUUUUGUACGAAGGUAAACGCAGAUACGCGUAUCUGUCUGAAAGUAUCGUAUGAAUAAGAAUCGUCUAACUCCGUGCCGGCAGCCGCGGUAAUACGGAGGGUUCAAGCGUUAUCCGGAGUUAUUGGGUUUAAGGGUUGCGUAGGCGGACGGAUAAGUUAGAGGUAAAAUCCCGAGGCUUAACUUUGGAAGUGCCUCUGAUAACGUGCGGCUAGAGGGUAGUUGCGGUAGGCGGAAUUUCUGGUGGAGCGGGGAAAUGCUUAGAGAUCA
RNAcentral lists this ribosomal RNA (364 nucleotides) under uncultured bacterium. RNAcentral describes it as "partial 16S ribosomal RNA". It matches the Rfam family "Bacterial small subunit ribosomal RNA", at positions 338 to 699 of the family's 1533-position model. The record is from RNAcentral.